GACGUAGGGGGCCAGCGUUGUUCGGAAUUACUGGGUGUAAAGGGUUCGUAGGCGGUGUAGCAAGUCGGGAGUGAAAUCUCUGGGCUUAACCCAGAGGCUGCUUCCGAAACUGCUGUGCUUGAGUGUGGGAGAGGCGCGUGGAAUUGCAGGUGUAGCGGUGAAAUGCGUAGAUAUUGGGAGGAACACCAGUGGCGAAGGCGGCUCACUGGACCGGUUCUGACGCUGAGGCGCGAAAGCGUGGGGAGCAAACGGG
Molecule: ribosomal RNA, 253 nt
Filed under: uncultured bacterium
Lineage: Bacteria
Description: partial 16S ribosomal RNA
Rfam family: Bacterial small subunit ribosomal RNA
Source: RNAcentral